RNAcentral lists this ribosomal RNA (561 nucleotides) under uncultured bacterium. RNAcentral's name for it is "partial 16S ribosomal RNA". It matches the Rfam family "Bacterial small subunit ribosomal RNA", at positions 355 to 937 of the family's 1533-position model. The record is from RNAcentral.
UGGGGAAUAUUGCACAAUGGGCGAAAGCCUGAUGCAGCAACGCCGCGUGAGUGAUGAAGGCCUUCGGGUUGUAAAGCUCUGUCUUUUGGGACGAUAAUGACGGUACCAAAGGAGGAAGCCACGGCUAACUACGUGCCAGCAGCCGCGGUAAUACGUAGGUGGCAAGCGUUGUCCGGAUUUACUGGGCGUAAAGGAUGCGUAGGCGGAUUUUUAAGUGAGAUGUGAAAUACCCGGGCUUAACUUGGGUGCUGCAUUUCAAACUGGGAAUCUAGAGUGCGGGAGAGGAGAAUGGAAUUCCUAGUGUAGCGGUGAAAUGCGUAGAGAUUAGGAAGAACACCAGUGGCGAAGGCGAUUCUCUGGACCGUAACUGACGCUGAGGCAUGAAAGCGUGGGUAGCAAACAGGAUUAGAUACCCUGGUAGUCCACGCCGUAAACGAUGAGUACUAGGUGUAGGAGGUAUCGACCCCUUCUGUGCCGCAGUUAACACAAUAAGUACUCCGCCUAGGAAGUACGAUCGCAAGAUUAAAACUUAAAUGAAUUGACGGGGUCAUAGCUGUUUCC